UCAUCACCUAAAUCACAACGAUUUUUUACACUGAAACCUCUCAAAAUACUGAAGAUAAUACAACACUCCCGUACUGAUAUCGAUGGUUAGCUGAUAAAAAAAUAUUAAUAGACCGAUAAAGUUGUUUCAAUAAUUAUUUCGUUUUCACGAUAAGGUUCAUGCGGUGUGGUUAUGUUUCGUUUCGUAAUGUAUUACACUGAUGUUUGCUGUGUAGUUGGUUUGAAUUGAAUUGAAAUUAAAGUUUAAGUGUUUGGACUAAUGCACGCUUUGCAAGAUGAUAUAAUACGUGUUUGCAUCGGGAGAGGAUGUGUUAAGUGUAAUCAAAACAAACGCAGUCGCAUGCGGAGAGGCUCCUUUGUCCAACAGUAAAAGUGCAACAGGUUGAUGAUCGUAAUGGGCAGCAACAUGCAGAGGUGUCACUCCGUUCUUCCCUUGGGCAUCAGCUGGAGCGUCUCUUUGCAACAAAAGUCUGGCAACAUUGAGAUGACCGUAUUUUGAGGCAAGAUGAAGGGGAGUGAAGCCUUUUUUAGUUGUCGCUGUCAAGUCCGCUCCGUUAUCUAGAAGAACUGAGGCUACCUAAAAAAUCAUAAAUGUUUAGCAUGCAUGGGCGCUCCAUUUUCCAAAAGAAGAUCCACGACGUGAUCGUGUCCACUUCUAGCUGCACAAUGUAAUGGAGUCAAACCAUCCCUGGUCUUCGCUUGAAUAUCUGCACCCUUUGCUACUAAUAAAGUGACCAUA
This is a long non-coding RNA of Diabrotica virgifera virgifera (western corn rootworm), 738 nucleotides long. RefSeq lists it as uncharacterized. The transcript has 3 exons. Lineage: Eukaryota; Metazoa; Arthropoda; Insecta; Coleoptera; Chrysomelidae. The record is from RefSeq and is a predicted model, not a curated record.